RNAcentral lists this long non-coding RNA (4203 nucleotides) under Sus scrofa (pig). RNAcentral's name for it is "lncRNA (ENSSSCG00015048647.1)". The record is from RNAcentral. Lineage: Eukaryota; Metazoa; Chordata; Mammalia; Artiodactyla; Suidae.
ACACUUGGCUGUUGAGCACUGGACAUGUGGCUGGUUUGAAUAAGGCACCAAAUUGAAGAGGCGACUAGGACACAGACCCAGCAAGUGACACUGGGAGAGGACGGCCAUCUGUAAGCCAAGGGAGGAUGCUUCAGGAGGAAGCGACCCUGCCGACAACUUGAUCUUGGACUUCUAGCCUUCCAGAAUUCUUUGCACAGUCUAGUUCCAGAUACCUCCCCCCAAAAUUCUGGGCUGCCCUUUCCAUUGCCCCAAGGCCCCCACACACUUAUAGCAAUUCCCCAACAAAUGAAUGUCACUUUUCCAUUAUAGAGACAGACCAAAUUAGCAUUUAGCAGAAAAAGGGACUUCGUCUUCUUCUUCUUUUUUUUUUUUUUUUGCAAAUCAUAUAACUCUAAAUUACCUUCAAUUUCCUAAAUGGAAUUUGGCUCGAGAUUCACCCUGGUAGGGAGUAGUCUGUAAUGAGAUUAUAUUAUGUUUGGGGGAAAACAUUCAAAUGACCAAGAUAAUUAAUUUUGCAUAACAACCAACAUAUAGCAAGAGCCAAAGCUGUAACUCAAAGCCUGCAACCUGCCAGGGGCCCCUGGGGGUGAUAAUGUUUCUUUCAAAAUACUACCUCAGAGAUGGUUCUGGGGACCUGGGAAAUGCAGAGGUUUGAAAGCUGGAAAUGUCGUGUUCUUUCUGUCCUGGUGGCCAUGCUCAUCUUUUCUCCGUAGCUGUCAUUCACACGAGCUCUCUCCUGGGCUCAGGAAGAUGAAAGACAUCCCCAGACCCCAAGGAGCAUCCUGAAUGGGUUUUGUUGGGAGGAAUCUUUUGAGAGUUAAUUCCAAGUGUUUAAAAUGUUUGGUGCUGUUUCAAAGGCUCAGCUUAUGGUAGGAUGUGGGGUGUGUGUGUGUGUGUGUGGGUGUGUGUGUGUGUGUGUGUACACACGCACAGGUGUGCUCAUCUUCUAAAGGAAAGACUAAGAUCAAAUGCUCUCUGGUUCUUUGAAUUUGCUUUGCCAGGUGGCUUUAUUUGUAUGAUAUUAGCCUUGUCUGAACAUCUGGGAAGGAUCUGACGUGGCAGCAAUUUUCUGCUUCUGAUUCAUUGCUAAAGUCCCCUCAGAAAUAGCCAGGACCUGGCUGACUGCCCACCUCCAUCCUUGCAUCUCUUGGCUGCAUCUCCUCCUAACGCAGUCCAAGAACGUACAUUGGGUUGGGAGCCAGCGAACCUAUAUUUUUUGUUUAAGAUCUGCUUCUAACCACCUGCAUGGUCUAAAAAAAAACAAAAACCAAAAAACUUCUGUACUUACACACUUGUGAAUGUUCACAAGAGACAAGAGAGGGGAACAACCUAAAUGUCCAUCAGUGGACGAGUGGAUAAGCAAAUUGUGGUAUGUCCAUACAAUGGAAUAAUACGUGGCCAUAAAAAGGCAGGUAGUAUUGAAAGCAUGAUGCUAAGUAAGAGAAGCCAAAUCUAAAUUAUCACACAUUUUAUGAUUCCUUUCAUAUGAAAUGCCCAGGAUAGGUAAAUCCAGAGACAGAAAAUGGAUUGGUGGGUGCCAAGGGCUGGGGAGAGGAAGGAAGGAGGAAUGAGAGCUUAUCAGGUAUUGGUUUUCUUUCCAGGUGAUGGAAAUAUUUUGGAACUAGGUAGUGUGAUGAUGGUUGCAUGACACUGUGAAUGUGUUAAAUGCCAAUGAAUCAUCCACUUUAAAGUGAUUACUCUUAUGAGAAUUCCACUACACUUUAAAAAAGUUCCCUCCAUCCUUAAGCCCACCAGGUCUUAGAGUAUUUAUCUGGAAAAAUCAGAUGUUGGACCAGAAACAGAUUUCAAACUUUCAGGUUCUAGACCACAUUUGGCCAGCUAAUACUUAAUAAGGCCUCAACAGCAGUUCCCAAAAUUCUCAAUCUGAAUUUCCUUUUGUGGUCAAAGAUGAGCCUCUCUCCCCACUGCAGUGUGCCACGUCUCCUGGUCUUCAUAUCCUGUGUAGCCCCUCUCACACCGAAACUGGGCUGACCCUGUGAUUAGCACUGACCCGCAGAAGUGACAUCAUGUAACGUCCAAGGCUGGACCCUGAGACACCUGCAGUUUCCACCUGUGACACCAUGGAACGUGACACCAUGCUGUGAGGAAGCCCAGGCUGCACAAGGAAACACACACACAGAAGCCCCAGGCAGCCGUUGGCACCCACCACCAGCCAUGUUAGUGAACGAUCUUGACAUUCCAGUCCAAUCAAGCCUUCAGGGGACACAGCCUAGCUAACCUCACGUGGAGGUUUUCUGCGAUGUUGCUGUAGCUACAGCUGUCGAUACAUUGCUUAUAUACAUAUGUAUCUCUAUCUGAAUCUGUAUCGAUCUAGAUAUAGUUCAUAUAGAUACAAUCAUAUACAUCUCUCUAUCUAUUUAUAAUUGGCUGACACAAUUAUGGGGACUGACAAGUCCAAAAUGUACAGGACAGGCUGUCAGGUUCGACUCCCAGGGAAGAGCUGAUGCUGUGCUCAAGGCCUAAGGCAGACAACUGGCAGCAGGACUUCUUCCUUUUGGGAGGUCAGUCUUUUUUUUUUUUUUUUUCUUUUUUUUUUUUUUUUGGUUUUUUUGUCCUUUUAGGGCUGCACCUGAGGCAUAUGGAGGGUCCCAGGCCAAGGGUCAAAUCAGGGCUGUAGCUGCCAUCCUACACCACAGCCACAGCAACGCUGGAUAUGAGCCACAUCUGCAACCUACACCACAGCUCAUGGCAAUGCUGGAUCCUUAACCCACUGAGUGAGGCCAGGGAUAGAACCCACAGCCUCAUGGUUCCUAGUCAGAUUCAUUAACCACUGAGCCAGGACGGGAACUCCUGGGAGGUCAGUCUUUUUUCUGAUAGCCUUCACCUGAUUGGACGAGGCUCACCCCCAAUAUGGAAGAUAAUCUGUUUCAUUUAAAGGCUGCUGAUUUAAAUAUUAAUCACAUCUUAAAAAUACCUUCUCUGUUAACAUCUGGACUGGCGUCUGAGCACACACCUGGGUAACAUGGCCUACCAAGUUGACACAUAAUGGUCACAGGGGCAUGAAGUGACCGCCACCCUUUGCAGUCUUCCAGAUUACGCUUCUGUCUAUACCCCACCCAGACGCCCUUGGAGCCCCUUUCUCUUUCCCCAAGUCCAGGUGCUGUGGCCACCCCCGAGCCUCACCCCUUCUGCAGAGGCCACCCUUGGAGCCACCCUGUGUGAGGCACAGAGGGCUGGAGCCUAGGGGGAUCUCCUGCCAAGGGUGAUCCUGCUCCCUGCUUUGUUACUGUCAGUUUGGCCUCAUCCCAUGAGAGGCAGGAAGCCCAGGCUGUCCCUUUGGGCUGAUACACCUUGGAAGCCUGAUUUCAGGCUUUCUCCCCACCCAUGUUCCUCCCCUGUGCUUCCCCCGACACCCCAGCCAUGCUAGGUUCCUUUGCUUUCUCCCUGUCUGCUCCCCACUCACCCCCACGCCAGUUUCUCUUGCGAGUACUCAAACCCUCCUCUGAGGGUCUGCUUUAGGGGAACCCAACCUAAGACAGACCCCCUUGUGAAGCCGGGAGCAAGACAUGGUGUAUCACGUGCCUCCCCCAAGCACCUGCUGGGUCCAAGCAGGGGAGGAAACAGGCAGAGCCCCUCUGCUUGUGGAGCUAACAUCCUUCCAUGUGGCUGACUAGGAGGUUUUUCCAGCUAGAGGUGGAAUUUAUGCGUCUGUUCUGAUGGCGCUGCUCCCUGCUUUGUUACUGUCAGUCUGGCCUCAUCCCACGAGAGGCAGGAGAAGGCGACCCUGGGUUUCAGUUUGAUUUGUGCUCAGUGUAGCUCCCCAUUGCCUCUGGUUUCCUGCUCUUAUGAGCAGAAAUCAAGUGCACGUUACAUGCAUCUGCCAGUGUGAGGCGGGUCUCAUCCUUUAUGUAGCAUAACCAAGCCCCAGAGGCCGGGCUCCCCAUACCCAAUGCACAGGGCCCCAAUCUCAGCUGCCCCCCCAACUUUCCCACAGUUCUCCUCUCUUCAUCACACCUUCUUCCUGUGGCCUCUGCCCCAGUUGUGCCCCUCAAACUGCAAAUACACCCCCCAACGCGAGCCAGACCAUUCUUCCUCACCAUCAGUGGUCCACGCGUCCCAGAGCCCCCUGUGCUGUGAUCGCCGCCUUUACAGAUGUGUGUGAGGGUGCGUUGGUGUUUUGUGACAGAUAUGGAAAUUCAAUAAAAGGCAAGUUAAUUAAAACAGAACAAGCUGUUGCCUGGA